GUUCCUGAGAUAAUUUAUCUUUGAUCUCGAAAUAACCAUUUUAAAAACUGCCAUGUCCUUAAAGAGUAACUAGCGGGGUUUCGGAAAAAAUAUAGUGUUAUAUGGUC
This is a small nucleolar RNA of Acipenser ruthenus (sterlet), 107 nucleotides long. RefSeq annotates it as small nucleolar RNA snR87. The transcript has a single exon. NCBI's taxonomy places the organism in Eukaryota, Metazoa, Chordata, Actinopteri, Acipenseriformes, Acipenseridae. The record is from RefSeq and is a predicted model, not a curated record.